CUCCACGCGCCGAGCUUGACAGCCGCGCCGGCCAAUCAGCGCGCGAGGCCCGGCCGGAAACAACGACCCGCCUGGCAGGGGAGGGAAAUGGGCGGGGACAGCGGCCAAUGGCGGCGCGGAAGAGCGGGCGAAACUGGGGUUGGAAAAGGGGCGGGAGAACAGCAGACCCCGCCCCUUUCCCCCUCCCCCCCCCAGCGGCGGGGUGGGAGCGGUGCCAGGCGGCGAGGCCGUGGGCCACCGCCGGAGCCGCGCCAAGGCCCCGGCUGCACCGCGGGAGCCCGCCUCGUGCCGGCAUCGGGGCUACGGUGCCGCACGCGACGCGGGCGUCUCCGACCCGCCACCUCGGCUGCAAAUGGAGUGGGGCGCAGUUACAACCCCCCCAGGCCUCACAAAAACCCCGCCGGACCCCCGCCCCGGAGAGAGGCCGAGAGCGAGCAAACCGCGUGGCGCGUGCGUCACGGCGCCGAGGACAGGAUUGAUGCCCGCCUGCCGCAGGACCGCACUCGGCCUCCGCACGACGAGAACCGGGCCGCCCGCGUCCAGUGUUCGUAGCCGUGGGAGUCCCUGGGCACAGGACGAGGUGGAUGUCGGAGCCCGGGCACCGCUCGUUGCGUGCUGCCGUGUCGUUAACGGGCGUCGGGCCAUCUGAAAACUGUUCCAGAGUCUCGCGUCUCUGGUGGCUGGGAACCUGAGCUUCAAUUUAAAAACCUUGCGUGGCAUGGCAUGGCGCAGCGCGGCGCGGCGCGGCUCUAGCCGGUCUAGUCUGGUUGCGAAGGAGGACGAGGGCCAGAAACCCUUCUCCGUGCGUCGCGUGAGCACGUCCUAGCGCCACCGUGAACACAGUCCUCAGUGCUCGUCCUCCCUAACGAGAGCUCCUUUUGCUACUGUUGACUAAGUUCUCCUCCCUAACGAGAGCUCCUUUUGAUACUGUUGACUAAGUUCUCCUCCACGUCUCAUCAGCCUUUGGCUUCUGUGACUUUGUCUUCUUUUGGUUCCCUCCCUCCCUAAUUUCUCUAUUUCUGCCAAAAACACUAAUUCAUCCAUCGCAUGUCUACGGCAACGACACGCAGAUUGACCUCCGCCGCGCGCCCGUCUCCUGUCCAGCGGAGCAUCCGCAGACCUCGGCCUCUUCUCCGAGCCCUCCGUGCUGCUUCCUUUCCGAGUCAUUGAAGACAGUCUUGUCUCCUCAGACUAUCACCUGGCGUCACCUACUACUUGGACCCCACUCUGCACCCCUCGCAUCUUGGCUAAACCCAAGUCUUCCAGGUUCUGCUUCACAUCACCCGGAUAUGGCCACAUUUCCUGUCCGUCCUCACUGCAGAACCUUUCACGCAGGCUCUGGUGAUCGAUUACUGCAAUGUUCUCAGUCCUUGACAAAUGCCACGUUGCCCCGUUUGUAUCCAUCCAGAACGGUUUUCAACGCAGCAGCAUUCUGCGUCUCUCGGCCCCUCACUUUGAUAUCACCCCUCAUGGUCCAUUCUUCCCCUCUUGAAAAUGAUGAUGUCCGUGUUUGCAAAGCCUUUUUGCACAACUUCUCCAUGCCCGCAUUCUUUGAGAGGUCAGCUCCCACCUUCCAGCAGCCUGAGAUCAGCCUCCUUCAGAUGCACCUCUGUGCUUCUCCUGUGCAGCAAACACCCACAGAGUCACCACAUUAUGCUUUUUACAUCUUUGCCUACAGAAAACUCAACAGUGGUUACUAAUGGCUGUAGCAUGCUAGGACCACUGUGGGAGACCGCUGCAUAUUGUUGUACUCCCUGUGACUGACUGCGCCCCCUCUACUUACACUGUGAGCUCAGUGCAUGAGAAAGCGACAGGCAAAAAGAGCAAACCUGUUCAGAGUACAUCCUCCUUUGUCCACAUCGGCAAAAACUUUCUUCCUAACAGCAUGCCAUUGCCAGCUCUGGGUGAACAUUCAGGUAAACUGCCCGAAUAACCAUAAUGUGUCUUUAAAGACAGACACUUGCGUGAGCAGCAUCUGGACUACAACAGAGAGCGAGUCUAAGUAGCUAGGGCAGGAGGUGGAUGUUGGGACACCCAAAUUCCCAAAUUAAUCUCCCAGCUGUACUGGGAAAUUGAAGUUAUUUUCACUGCAACUUGUAAGAUUUUCUUAAAUCUAUGUGGCUCUCCGGACACAUCUGGAAGAUGCUGGCAUCAGUCCCCUGCCUCAGGGGAGGCUGUCCUUCGCAAUUUGCAACACAGAAACCCUGUUUUCCGUCGAGUGGGAUAUGUCAUUCAGCUUUCUAGUUGUUCUUAGCGUUGUCCCCGAUAGAUUAUAGGAUUCCUCUUAACGCUUUAGAGCUGUAGCAAGCCAUUAACCGGUCUGUUUAUAAGUGCUGAAGCCUGCUUUCCAGUCACUUCAGUGUUCAGGAAGCCAUUAAAGCUGGUAAUCGUG
This is a long non-coding RNA of Alligator mississippiensis (American alligator), 2392 nucleotides long. RefSeq lists it as uncharacterized. The record is from RefSeq and is a predicted model, not a curated record. Lineage: Eukaryota; Metazoa; Chordata; Crocodylia; Alligatoridae. The transcript has 2 exons.